RNAcentral lists this ribosomal RNA (500 nucleotides) under uncultured bacterium. RNAcentral's name for it is "partial 16S ribosomal RNA". It matches the Rfam family "Bacterial small subunit ribosomal RNA", at positions 30 to 523 of the family's 1533-position model. The record is from RNAcentral.
AUUGAACGCUGGCGGCAGGCCUAACACAUGCAAGUCGAGCGGAUGAGAGGAGCUUGCUUCUCGAUUCAGCGGCGGACGGGUGAGUAAUGCCUAGGAAUCUGCCUGGUAGUGGGGGACAACGUUUCGAAAGGAACGCUAAUACCGCAUACGUCCUACGGGAGAAAGCAGGGGACCUUCGGGCCUUGCGCUAUCAGAUGAGCCUAGGUCGGAUUAGCUAGUUGGUGAGGUAAUGGCUCACCAAGGUGACGAUCCGUAACUGGUCUGAGAGGAUGAUCAGUCACACUGGAACUGAGACACGGUCCAGACUCCUACGGGAGGCAGCAGUGGGGAAUAUUGGACAAUGGGCGAAAGCCUGAUCCAGCCAUGCCGCGUGUGUGAAGAAGGUCUUCGGAUUGUAAAGCACUUUAAGUUGGGAGGAAGGGUUGUAGAUUAAUACUCUGCAAUUUUGACGUUACCGACAGAAUACGCACCGGCUAACUCUGUGCCAGCCGCCGCGGUAA